UUAAGCGACUAAGCGUACACGGUGGAUGCCCUGGCAGUCAGAGGCGAUGAAGGACGUGCUAAUCUGCGAAAAGCGUCGGUAAGGUGAUAUGAACCGUUAUAACCGGCGAUGUCCGAAUGGGGAAACCCAGUGCAAUUCGUUGCACUAUCGUUAACUGAAUACAUAGGUUAACGAGGCGAACCGGGGGAACUGAAACAUCUAAGUACCCCGAGGAAAAGAAAUCAACCGAGAUUCCCCCAGUAGCGGCGAGCGAACGGGGAGCAGCCCAGAGUCUGAAUCAGCUUGUGUGUUAGUGGAACGGUCUGGAAAGUCCGACGGUACAGGGUGAUAGUCCCGUACACCAAAAUGCACAGGUUGUGAACUCGAAGAGUAGGGCGGGACACGUGGUAUCCUGUCUGAAUAUGGGGGGACCAUCCUCCAAGGCUAAAUACUCCUGACUGACCGAUAGUGAACCAGUACCGUGAGGGAAAGGCGAAAAGAACCCCGGCGAGGGGAGUGAAAAAGAACCUGAAACCGUGUACGUACAAGCAGUGGGAGCACCUUCGGGUGUGACUGCGUACCUUUUGUAUAAUGGGUCAGCGACUUAUAUUCUGUAGCAAGGUUAACCGUAUAGGGGAGCCGCAGGGAAACCGAGUCUUAACUGGGCGUUAAGUUGCAGGGUAUAGACCCGAAACCCGGUGAUCUAGCCAUGGGCAGGUUGAAGGUUGGGUAACACUAACUGGAGGACCGAACCGACUAAUGUUGAAAAAUUAGCGGAUGACUUGUGGCUGGGGGUGAAAGGCCAAUCAAACCGGGAGAUAGCUGGUUCUCCCCGAAAGCUAUUUAGGUAGCGCCUCGUGAAUUCAUCUUCGGGGGUAGAGCACUGUUUCGGCUAGGGGGUCAUCCCGACUUACCAACCCGAUGCAAACUACGAAUACCGAAGAAUGUUAUCACGGGAGACACACGGCGGGUGCUAACGUCCGUCGUGAAGAGGGAAACAACCCAGACCGCCAGCUAAGGUCCCAAAGUCAUGGUUAAGUGGGAAACGAUGUGGGAAGGCACAGACAGCCAGGAUGUUGGCUUAGAAGCAGCCAUCAUUUAAAGAAAGCGUAAUAGCUCACUGGUCGAGUCGGCCUGCGCGGAAGAUGUAACGGGGCUAAACCAUGCACCGAAGCUGCGGCAGCGACACUAUGUGUUGUUGGGUAGGGGAGCGUUCUGUAAGCCUGCGAAGGUGACCUGUGAGGGUUGCUGGAGGUAUCAGAAGUGCGAAUGCUGACAUAAGUAACGAUAAAGCGGGUGAAAAGCCCGCUCGCCGGAAGACCAAGGGUUCCUGUCCAACGUUAAUCGGGGCAGGGUGAGUCGACCCCUAAGGCGAGGCCGAAAGGCGUAGUCGAUGGGAAACAGGUUAAUAUUCCUGUACUUGGUGUUACUGCGAAGGGGGGACGGAGAAGGCUAUGUUAGCCGGGCGACGGUUGUCCCGGUUUAAGCAUGUAGGCUGGUURUCCAGGCAAAUCCGGAUAAUCAAGGCUGAGGUGUGAUGACGAGGCACUACGGUGCUGAAGUAACAAAUGCCCUGCUUCCAGGAAAAGCCUCUAAGCAUCAGGUAACAUCAAAUCGUACCCCAAACCGACACAGGUGGUCAGGUAGAGAAUACCAAGGCGCUUGAGAGAACUCGGGUGAAGGAACUAGGCAAAAUGGUGCCGUAACUUCGGGAGAAGGCACGCUGGUGUGUAGGUGAAGYCCCUGCGGRUGGAGCUGAGACCAGUCGAAGAUACCAGCUGGCUGCAACUGUUUAUUAAAAACACAGCACUGUGCAAACACGAAAGUGGACGUAUACGGUGUGACGCCUGCCCGGUGCCGGAAGGUUAAUUGAUGGGGUUAUCCGUAAGGAGAAGCUCUUGAUCGAAGCCCCGGUAAACGGCGGCCGUAACUAUAACGGUCCUAAGGUAGCGAAAUUCCUUGUCGGGUAAGUUCCGACCUGCACGAAUGGCGUAAUGAUGGCCAGGCUGUCUCCACCCGAGACUCAGUGAAAUUGAACUCGCUGUGAAGAUGCAGUGUACCCGCGGCAAGACGGAAAGACCCCGUGAACCUUUACUAUAGCUUGACACUGAACAUUGAGCCUUGAUGUGUAGGAUAGGUGGGAGGCUUUGAAGCGUGGACGCCAGUCUGCGUGGAGCCAACCUUGAAAUACCACCCUUUAAUGUUUGAUGUUCUAACGUUGGCCCCUUAYCGGGGUUGCGGACAGUGUCUGGUGGGUAGUUUGACUGGGGCGGUCUCCUCCCAAAGCGUAACGGAGGAGCACGAAGGUUAGCUAAUCCUGGUCGGACAUCAGGAGGUUAGUGCAAUGGCAUAAGCUAGCUUGACUGCGAGCGUGACGGCGCGAGCAGGUGCGAAAGCAGGUCAUAGUGAUCCGGUGGUUCUGAAUGGAAGGGCCAUCGCUCAACGGAUAAAAGGUACUCCGGGGAUAACAGGCUGAUACCGCCCAAGAGUUCAUAUCGACGGCGGUGUUUGGCACCUCGAUGUCGGCUCAUCACAUCCUGGGGCUGAAGUAGGUCCCAAGGGUAUGGCUGUUCGCCAUUUAAAGUGGUACGCGAGCUGGGUUUAGAACGUCGUGAGACAGUUCGGUCCCUAUCUGCCGUGGGCGCUGGAGAAUUGAGGGGGGCUGCUCCUAGUACGAGAGGACCGGAGUGGACGCAUCACUGGUGUUCGGGUUGUCAUGCCAAUGGCACUGCCCGGUAGCUAAAUGCGGAAGAGAUAAGUGCUGAAAGCAUCUAAGCACGAAACUUGCCCCGAGAUGAGUUCUCCCUGAGACUUUAAGUCUCCUGAAGGAACGUUAAAGACGAUGACGUUGAUAGGCCGGGUGUGUAAGCGCAGCGAUGCGUUGAGCUAACCGGUACUAAUGAACCGUGAGGCUUAACCU
RNAcentral lists this ribosomal RNA (2899 nucleotides) under Klebsiella pneumoniae. RNAcentral's name for it is "23S ribosomal RNA". Lineage: Bacteria; Pseudomonadati; Pseudomonadota; Gammaproteobacteria; Enterobacterales; Enterobacteriaceae. The record is from RNAcentral.